GCGGGAGUAGCUCAGUUGGCUAGAGCAUCAGCCUUCCAAGCUGAGGGUCGCCGGUUCGAACCCGGUCUCUCGCUCCA
RNAcentral lists this transfer RNA (77 nucleotides) under SAR324 cluster bacterium. Its description in RNAcentral is "tRNA-Gly". It matches the Rfam family "tRNA". Rfam says of the family: Transfer RNA (tRNA) molecules are approximately 80 nucleotides in length. Their secondary structure includes four short double-helical elements and three loops (D, anti-codon, and T loops). The record is from RNAcentral. Lineage: Bacteria; Deltaproteobacteria.